MicroRNA precursor from Dipodomys ordii (Ord's kangaroo rat), 84 nucleotides. Ensembl annotates it as microRNA 1251. Lineage: Eukaryota; Metazoa; Chordata; Mammalia; Rodentia; Heteromyidae. The record is from Ensembl.
GUCAGCUAUGUGCACUCUAGCUGCCAAAGGCGCUUCUCCUUCUGAACAGAGCGCUUUGCUCAGCCAGUGUAGACAUGGCCUGAU